RNAcentral lists this ribosomal RNA (1391 nucleotides) under uncultured bacterium. RNAcentral describes it as "bacterial SSU rRNA". It matches the Rfam family "Bacterial small subunit ribosomal RNA". The record is from RNAcentral.
GAAUUCGCCCUUAGAGUUUGAUCCUGGCUCAGGAUGAACGCUGGCGGCGUGCUUAACACAUGCAAGUCGAACGGACUCAUAUUGAAACCUAGUGAUUUAUGAGUUAGUGGCGGACGGGUGAGUAACGCGUGGAUAACCUGCCGUAUACCGGGGGAUAACACUUAGAAAUAGGUGCUAAUACCGCAUAAGCGCACGGUCCCGCAUGGGACAGUGUGAAAAACUCCGGUGGUGCAAGAUGGACCCGCGUCUGAUUAGCUGGUUGGCGGGGUAAAGGCCCACCAAGGCGACGAUCAGUAGCCGGACUGAGAGGUUGGCCGGCCACAUUGGGACUGAGACACGGCCCAGACUCCUACGGGAGGCAGCAGUGGGGAAUAUUGGGCAAUGGGCGCAAGCCUGACCCAGCAACGCCGCGUGAAGGAAGAAGGCCUUUCGGGUUGUAAACUUCUUUUCUCAGGGACGAAGAAAGUGACGGUACCUGAGGAAUAAGCCACGGCUAACUACGUGCCAGCAGCCGCGGUAAUACGUAGGUGGCAAGCGUUAUCCGGAUUUACUGGGUGUAAAGGGCGUGUAGGCGGGAAAGCAAGUCAGAUGUGAAAACCAUGGGCUCAACCUGUGGCCUGCAUUUGAAACUGUUUUUCUUGAGUACUGGAGAGGCAGACGGAAUUCCUCGUGUAGCGGUGAAAUGCGUAGAUAUGAGGAGGAACACCAGUGGCGAAGGCGGUCUGCUGGACAGCAACUGACGCUGAGGCGCGAAAGCGUGGGGAGCAAACAGGAUUAGAUACCCUGGUAGUCCACGCUGUAAACGAUGGAUACUAGGUGUGGGGGGACUGACCCCCUCCGUGCCGCAGUUAACACAAUAAGUAUCCCACCUGGGGAGUACGAUCGCAAGGUUGAAACUCAAAGGAAUUGACGGGGGCCCGCACAAGCGGUGGAGUAUGUGGUUUAAUUCGAAGCAACGCGAAGAACCUUACCAGGGCUUGACAUCCCGGUGACCGGCAUAGAGAUAUGCUUUUCUCUUCGGAGACACCGGUGACAGGUGGUGCAUGGUUGUCGUCAGCUCGUGUCGUGAGAUGUUGGGUUAAGUCCCGCAACGAGCGCAACCCUUAUUGUUAGUUGCUACGCAAGAGCACUCUAGCGAGACUGCCGUUGCCAAAACGGAGGAAGGUGGGGACGACGUCAAAUCAUCAUGCCCCUUAUGUCCUGGGCCACACACGUACUACGAUGGUGGUCAACAGAGGGAAGCAAAGCCGCGAGGUGGAGCAAAUCCCUAAAAGCCAUCCCAGUUCGGAUCGCAGGCUGCAACCCGCCUGCGUGAAGUUGGAAUCGCUAGUAAUCGCGGAUCAGCAUGCCGCGGUGAAUACGAUCCCGGGCCUUGUACACACCGCCCGUCA